This 1229-nucleotide unclassified non-coding RNA is filed under the name Hevea brasiliensis (rubber tree). Lineage: Eukaryota; Viridiplantae; Streptophyta; Magnoliopsida; Malpighiales; Euphorbiaceae. The record is from RNAcentral.
GUUGAUUAUGGUGUCGAUUAGAUACAUAUUGGUAUUAGGUUUUGUAUUUGCAGCGUUUGGAUAUACGAAUUCCGAAUCGGUUUCUCCAAUUCAGUCUUAUAAUUUUCUGUAUGAUCUGAAAUUUCAAUGCCCUUUUCGGAUCUCUGUUCCAUCUUCUAAGAUUCUUGAGACGGAUGGAGAAUCACUCGACAAGGCUCUAAGGUCCAGUCAGAAAGAUGAGGUUACUGCUAUUCUGUUUUACGCCUCGUGGUGUCCUUUCUCGACAGAUGUUAAAUUAAAGUUUGGUGCUCUGAGUUCCAUGUUCCCGCAAAUCAGACAUGUGAUGGUUGAGCAAUCAAAAGCGACACCUAGUGUCUUCUCAAGAUAUGGAGUUCACAGCUUUCCAUCAAUAUUGAUUGUGACUCAGACAUCAAGAGUGCGAUAUCACGGCCAGAAAGAUCUUCCCUCCCUUGUGAACUUCUACAAGAGGACUACAGGGCUUCAUCCUAUGGUUGAAGUGACCGAAAGUCAAAUUACCUACAAGGCAGAUGGUCGCAAAGCUUUUCAGAAAUGGAAAGGGUCCUCUUUGAAGGAACUAUCCUCGACUGAACCUUACCUUGCAUUAUCGGUUGCAUUCCUAUUGUUUAGGGCUUCCCUAUAUUUCUUCCCUGGGUUGGUAACUCGUGUAGUAGCAUUAUGGGCUGCAUAUAUUCCUCAUCUAAACAUGGGGAUCUUCGGAGAUUCAAGGCAGAUUCUGGGGCGCGUCUUCCACGUAAUUGAUCCCAAGAGGGCUUGGAGCAAGCUAAAGCUAUGCAAAACGAGAAACUUCCAUAAAGGUGCUAGGAAUGCUCGAGUUUGGGCUUCGUCCUUGACAUCAGUUUCACUGGGAGAGACAUCAGCAGCAAGAAUAGCCCCCUCAGGAGACUUGUAAGCUACUACUCGUGGUCUCUCGCAUCAGAUUGUCACUAAAACGAACAAGUUAGAACUCAGAGUCUGGUUUCUACAGCAAGUAGAAUCGUCUUACUUCUUCAUUCCCUGUUAUUUCUUCCCCCUCGGGUUAGCUGUUCUUGCCCGGUGUUGUAUCUUACCUUUUUUCAGAAAAUUUAAAUAUUACUCAAGAGACCAGAAGAUCUUGUGCUUUUAGAGUUUAGGUGGAAAUAUGAACAGCUUUCUUGUAAAUUUUGAGAACAGAAGGUUUCUAUGUAUAUUACAUGAUGACAAGAGGGAGACUUUGUAACACUGCAUUGUGU